RNAcentral lists this long non-coding RNA (472 nucleotides) under Homo sapiens (human). Its description in RNAcentral is "non-protein coding lnc-TLR5-1:4". The record is from RNAcentral. Lineage: Eukaryota; Metazoa; Chordata; Mammalia; Primates; Hominidae.
GAGGUAGACACUCAUGCAGGAAAAGUGCCAGGUGAAGAUGAAGGCAGGGAUCGUAGUGAAGCUUCUACAAGCCGAGGAUCACCAGCAAACCACCAGAAGCCAAGGGAGAGGCCAGGAACAGACUCUCCCCACAGCCCUCAGAAGGGUCCAACCCUGCUGACACCUUGAUCUUGGACUUCCAGCUUCCAGGACUGUGAAACAAGACAUUUCUUUGGUUCAAGCCACUCCCUUAGUGCACAUUGUUAUGGCAGCCAUGGAAAACCAUCCACAGAGGGUCAGUUCCUAUGGAGGUGGGCCCUGGGCCCAGCUGCUGCAGGUGGCCAGGAAGGAGCCUGGGAGGAUGACGGGGUUCCUGAUCUGAUAGAACUGGGCUGUGACUAGGCAGAACCCUGUUCCACCACACACACCCCAGUGGAGGACGUUCUGUAUCUGUGAUGAAUGACCCCUGCAUACAUUAUAUCUUUCAGUAAAA